UACAGAGGUCUCGAGCGUUAGGCGGAAUCACUGGGCUUAAAGCGUGUGUAGGCGGAUGCCUAAGUACCUUGUGAAAUCCCACGGCUUAACCGUGGAACUGCUUGGUAUACUGGGUGUCUUGAGCCACUCAGGGGCGAGCGGAACAAAUGGUGGGAGCGGUGAAAUGCGUAGAUAUCAUUUGGAACGCCAAUGGUGAAAACAGCUCGCUGGGGGUGUGCUGACGCUGAGACACGAAAGCCAGGGGAGCGAACGGG
RNAcentral lists this ribosomal RNA (254 nucleotides) under uncultured bacterium. RNAcentral describes it as "partial 16S ribosomal RNA". It matches the Rfam family "Bacterial small subunit ribosomal RNA", at positions 524 to 776 of the family's 1533-position model. The record is from RNAcentral.